This 120-nucleotide ribosomal RNA is filed under the name Trichostrongylus colubriformis. RNAcentral describes it as "partial 5.8S ribosomal RNA". It matches the Rfam family "5.8S ribosomal RNA", at positions 33 to 154 of the family's 154-position model. Rfam says of the family: 5.8S ribosomal RNA (5.8S rRNA) is a component of the large subunit of the eukaryotic ribosome. The record is from RNAcentral. Lineage: Eukaryota; Metazoa; Nematoda; Chromadorea; Rhabditida; Trichostrongylidae.
UCGAUGAAAAACGCAGCUAGCUGCGUUAUUUACCACGAAUUGCAGACGCUUAGAGUGGUGAAAUUUUGAACGCAUAGCGCCGUUGGGUUUUCCCUUCGGCACGUCUGGUUCAGGGUUGUU